UCCUGGCUCAGAUUGAACGCUGGCGGCAUGCUUUACACAUGCAAGUCGAACGGUAACAGGGAGCUUGCUCCGCUGACGAGUGGCGAACGGGUGAGUAAUGCAUCGGAACAUGCCCAGUCAGUGGGGGAUAACUACGCGAAAGCGUAGCUAAUACCGCAUACGCCCUGAGGGGAAAGUGGGGGGUCUUAGGACCUCACGUGAUUGGAGUGGCCGAUGUCAGAUUAGCUAGUUGGUGAGGUAAAGGCUCACCAAGGCGACGGUCUGUAGCGGGUCUGAGAGGAUGAUCCGCCACACUGGGACUGAGACACGGCCCAGACUCCUACGGGAGGCAGCAGUGGGGAAUUUUGGACAAUGGGCGCAAGCCUGAUCCAGCCAUGCCGCGUGAGUGAAGAAGGCCUUCGGGUUGUAAAGCUCUUUCGGCCGGGAAGAAAUCGCACGGGUUAAUACCCUGUGUGGAUGACGGUACCGGAAUAAGAAGCACCGGCUAACUACGUG
Molecule: ribosomal RNA, 495 nt
Filed under: uncultured bacterium
Lineage: Bacteria
Description: bacterial SSU rRNA
Rfam family: Bacterial small subunit ribosomal RNA
Source: RNAcentral